Molecule: ribosomal RNA, 257 nt
Filed under: uncultured bacterium
Lineage: Bacteria
Description: partial 16S ribosomal RNA
Rfam family: Bacterial small subunit ribosomal RNA
Source: RNAcentral
CCACGCCGUAAACGAUGAGCACUAGAUGUUGGGGGCGCAAGUCCUCGGUAUCGAAGUUAACGCAUUAAGUGCUCCGCCUGGGGAGUACGUACGCAAGUAUAAAACUCAAAGGAAUUGACGGGGACCCGCACAAGCAGCGGAGCAUGUGGUUUAAUUCGAAGCAACGCGAAGAACCUUACCAGGGCUUGACAUCCCCCUGAAAGGUCGGUUAAUCCCGACCCCUCUUCGGACAGGGGAGACAGGUGGUGCAUGGUUGU